RNAcentral lists this unclassified non-coding RNA (347 nucleotides) under uncultured Microascus. RNAcentral describes it as "sequence contains ITS1". The stretch from base 1 to 105 matches the Rfam family "5.8S ribosomal RNA", at positions 50 to 154 of the family's 154-position model. The record is from RNAcentral. Lineage: Eukaryota; Fungi; Ascomycota; Sordariomycetes; Microascales; Microascaceae.
GAAAUGCGAUAAGUAAUGUGAAUUGCAGAAUUCAGUGAAUCAUCGAAUCUUUGAACGCACAUUGCGCCCGGCAGCAAUCUGCCGGGCAUGCCUGUCCGAGCGUCAUUUCUGCCCUCGAGCGCGGUUCGGCCCCUGUGGGGGGCCCGAGCCGCCGCCCGGUGUUGGGGCGCUGCGGGCUCGCCUCGAGCAAGCCCGCAGGCCCCGAAAUGAAGUGGCGGUCCCGCCGCGGCGCCCCCUGCGUAGUAAGUCUCUUGCACCUCGCAUCGGGCCCCGGCGUCGGCCAGCCGUCGAACCUGUCUCUCUGAUGGUUUGACCUCGGAUCAGGUAGGGUUACCCGCUGAACUUAA